AGAGUUUGAUCCUGGCUCAGAACGAACGCUGGCGGCGUGCUUAACACAUGCAAGUCGAACGUGAUCCAGAGCUUGCUCUGGUGAAAGUGGCGCACGGGUGAGUAACGCGUGGAUAACCUGCCCUGGUAUCUGGGAUAACAUCUCGAAAGGGGUGCUAAUACCGGAUAAGCCUACGGGCUCUUCGGAGUCUGCAGGAAAAGAAGGCCUCUAUUUAUAAGCUUCCGUAUCAUGAUGGGUCCGCGUACCAUUAGCUAGUUGGUGGGGUAAUGGCCUACCAAGGCGACGAUGGUUAGCUGGUCUGAGAGGAUGAUCAGCCACACUGGAACUGAGACACGGUCCAGACUCCUACGGGAGGCAGCAGUGGGGAAUUUUGCGCAAUGGGGGAAACCCUGACGCAGCAACGCCGCGUGAGUGAUGAAGGCUUUCGGGUCGUAAAGCUCUGUCAGAGGGGAAGAAAUGAAACGUGCUAAUAUCACGUUUUCUUGACGGUACCCUCAAAGGAAGCACCGGCUAACUCCGUGCCAGCAGCCGCGGUAAUAC
RNAcentral lists this ribosomal RNA (540 nucleotides) under uncultured Geobacter sp. Its description in RNAcentral is "bacterial SSU rRNA". It matches the Rfam family "Bacterial small subunit ribosomal RNA", at positions 8 to 526 of the family's 1533-position model. Lineage: Bacteria; Pseudomonadati; Thermodesulfobacteriota; Desulfuromonadia; Geobacterales; Geobacteraceae. The record is from RNAcentral. RNAcentral also lists the same sequence under 1 other name.